Molecule: ribosomal RNA, 432 nt
Filed under: uncultured bacterium
Lineage: Bacteria
Description: partial 16S ribosomal RNA
Rfam family: Bacterial small subunit ribosomal RNA
Source: RNAcentral
GAUGAACGCUGGCGGUAUGCUUAACACAUGCAAGUCGAACGGUCACUUCGGUGAUAGUGGCGGACGGGUGAGUAACGCGUGAGAAUCUGUCUUCAGGUCGGGGACAACAGUUAGAAAUGACUGCUAGUACCGGAUGUGCCUUUGGGUGAAAGAUUUAUUGCCUGAAAAAGAGCUCGCGUCAGAUUAGCUAGUAGGUGGUGUAAGAGACUACCUAGGCUCCGAUCUGUAGCUGGUCUGAGAGGACGAUCAGCCACACUGGAACUGAGACACGGUCCAGACUCCUACGGGAGGCAGCAGUGGGGAAUUUUCCGCAAUGGGCGAAAGCCUGACGGAGCAAUACCGCGUGAGGGACGAAGGCUUUUGGGUCGUAAACCUCUUUUCUCAAGGAAGAUGAUGACGGUACUUGAGGAAUAAGCAUCGGCUAACCCUGUG